UAACUCCCCCACCUUUUCUUCCCUGCCUGUCCUUCCUGAACAGUUUGUCUCCAUCCAUGACAAUACUCCAGUCAUGUGAGUUUUCCCACCAAGUCUCUGUUAUUCCAAUCACAUGCAAGGGCUGGUGUCAGCUUGAACCAUGCAACAAAUAUUGAGUUUUGUGGCUGCCACAAUAUUGUAGUGCCCAUGGUACAUGUCCAUGUAAGACCACUUUAGCGGACCCUGAGAUCCCAGUAGAAUGUGGACUUUCGUAUUACAAGUGAUGGACUGUCUCCGGGCCUCUCUGGCCUGGUGGGGGUCUAGGCCCAGUCCUUAAUCAGGAAGGUCUUUCAAACUCCUAACGUUCAAACUGUAGUGACCAUGUAUUCAUCAAAGCUGAGAGACAGAGUCUAUGCCUGCCCAGAAAACUCAAUCUCUGUAGGAAGAAAGUCUAUAUGGUAGUGUUUUGGAGACAGGCAUUAAGGGUUUUCAGAGAUGCCAAAAGGUGAUCCCAAUUCAUAUGGACAAUAUAUGGCUAAACUGUGCCUUAAUGAGACAGUCAUCAUCCUGCCAUUCUCUCCAUGCCUUUAAAACCAAUGAGGGUCGUCUUCUCCUACCUGCUGUUUAAAAGGCUGUGGCAGAUUCCAUUAGGACUCUUCUAAAGGCCAUAGCCCAGAUUUUUGCUUAUUUUCACAUCACUUCCCUUGGCAUCCUUCUCACUAAGAAGACAAUGACUAAAUGACUGAUUGCAUUUGGCUCUGCUGUGACCUGGCUUGAAGUUAAAGGGGCAUAUCAAGACUCAAAGAUGAUUCAGAAAUAGAUGUAUUCGAGGUAGCCCCAUAGGCCUUGUUUCAUAUUCGUACAAAGCACAGUUGCUUGGAUUUGUCCUCUACUAGGAAUUGCACAUGGUCCUCUAUUCCCUUCAGAACUGGAUUGCAAAAUAGGGCAGCCCCAAUUAUCCUGCCCUCUAGCAUCUUUGGGUCUUUCAGCACAUCUGAUGAUCCUGUGCUGUAUGCAACUGCCUGAAUCUGAGGUCACUAGGCAGAAGUUCAGCACUGCUGUUUCAAAUUUGGUGCCUUUGGCAGCAAGGUCAGGGCAAGGAAUGGCGCAAAAUGGUUUGGAAUGGUAGUAGUCCAAACCAAGCCCUGCUAUUCCAUGAAUCUCACUCCCAGCCACCUCCUCUUGGAUCUAAGAGGGAUAUCUUUUUGAGAUGGUGGCUUCUGACUUUUCAUUUUCUACCCAGGCCCCCUGGGUUAACUUGUCUUAUAUAUUUUCUUAGUUAAAUUAAAUAUUGUGGUUGAUUUAUUUUGAGGAGAGUCAGCUUUUCUGCUUAAUCAGGAACAGCCAGAAAGGGUCAACAUUCAGCAGCCAGGGACUGGGUGGGUGCAAGACCAGGGGUUGUGUCUCAUGUUGCUAGCCUCUAAUGCUCUUUUUAGGGACUAGAAGAAAUGAAGAACUGGGCCAUUCCAUCAGUCUCCUACUAGGGAGCUGAGACCUAGAAAUGGGAUUCUUUUAGAAAAGCAGAACUAUAAAGUAAAUCCGCCCCUUCCCCAGGUUGUGAAGGCUCUGCAUAGACCAAUAGAUAGUUGGGAGCCUCAAGGAGGUGUGGACCUGAGCAGAUUCCCCAAGCACUUUAGACAAACUCACUGGUAAGGAUAAAACAUUAAAAUAAGUUUAUUAACUAUAGAAAGAUAGAUUUUAAAUGAGUAUAAGUGUUAGGCACAGAGGUCAAAAUUGGUUACAUAAAUAAAAAUAGAAUCACAGUGUAAAUUCUAACUUUAACAGACUAAGCAAAAUUUGAAUCAAACAGCUUUUCUCACCCCACUGGAUGUUCCAGGCAGUUUACAGUUCUUAAUACACAGUCUGAAUUUCCUUCUCCGCCUGGGACCAAUCUCCCCAGUUCAAAGUCUUUGUUUUCCAAAUGAUCUUCCAGGUGUAGAGAUGGGAGAGGAGAGAGUCCAAGUGGUGAUGUCAUUGACCCUCAUUUAUACUUUCUCUCUGCUAGAAAGAUCCUUGCUGUGACAUAGGUGUUAGGUAGCACCCAUUGUGUAUGUGUCCUCUUGGAGGAGUCUCGGGGAGAGUGGAUUCUUCUUGAUCAAGACAUGUCUGGCAGGUCUUGAUGUAAAUCGUCUUGUCAGUGUUAGUUUCUCCUUUGUUGCCACUGAAAGUCUGGCUGUGGGCAUUUCCCACUUACCAUAUAUUUCAGUAACAAACAUAUAGCAGUACUUCAUAACUUCACAUACAAUGAUAGUACAGACAAUCCAACAGGAUAGUAAUGUUCAACAGAUCAAGACUUUUUAAAUGAUACCUCUCAAGGCGUAUUUUUUACAAAACAUAUGAAUAUGGGGGUGCCAGGGUGCUUUUCUGAGGUACAGAGUGUCACAUCUGGGCCUUACAUUUAAACCUCCCCCCAUCUUCGAGGGAUGCCCUCUGCCAGCCUGGGUUUGUUCAGAUGGGCUGCAUAGAAACCUGCCAUGAAGUUAGGGGAAUGGACUUGAGACACUGGUUCACAGAAUCGCUCUUCUGGGCCAUAGCCCUCCUAAUCUACAAGGUACCCCAGUGGUACCUGUGUUUGAUUUUUCGAGUCCAAUAUCUUGUGGCUCUCAAACUCCUUGGAUCCACACUGGAGGGGGUGGUAGUUGGGCCUGGUGUGUGAAGGGGUUGUCCACGUAGGGUUUUAGCAAGGGUACAUGGAACAUUGAGUGUAUUUUGAGGGAUCUUCGUAAUUGAAGCCGCAGGAUCACUGGUUUGAUUAUCUAUGGCUCAAGGUAUCAGUAAUCCAGUUUAUGACAUGGCCUGUGUUUGUGGAGGUGUUGGGCUGGGAGCCACACUUUUUCCCUGCUGGGGAAUGCCAGGCCUUCCUGGUGUAUCAGUGUAUCGCUUGUAAUCUUCCUUGGUCCUGUUCAGAUAUGCCUUCAGUUCUUCUUGGACCUGGUUGAUCUGGCAUACCCAGUCGGCAGCCACAAGAUUGGUGAAGGUGACAUGUAUGGCAGGGAGAGAUGGGGGUGGAAGCCACAGUUUGCAUAGAACACACAUUGCCUAGAUUUGCUGGCUUGGACUGACCAUCAGUUUAUGGGUGAUAGGCGAUAGAUAUAUAAGCAUGAACCCUGAGCUAACAUAGGGUUUUGCGCCAAAAUCAUAACAAAAACUGUGGACCCCAAUCAGUUGUGACUUGCUCCAUGAGUCCAUGGAGAUGGAUGACCUGAGUCACCAGGAGCUGGGCGGUUUCUUCUGCAGGUGUGCAAUGGGAAUGAAGUGGCCAUUUUUGGCAAUUAGUCAAUCAUGGUAAGGAUUACAAUAUGUCCAUUAGAUACAGGGAGCUCGACUUUAAAGGCUUCCCAGGGUCUGUAUGACACUGUGGAAAAAGAAAGAUGACCUUGCUGCGGCGUGGGCCAAGGGAUGUGCUGGCCGCUGCUUCCUGCAGCCCCCAUUGGCCUGGAACGGCGAACCAUGGCCUUUGGGAGCUGCGAUCGGCCAAACCUGCGGAUGCUGCAGGUAAACAAACCAUCCUGGCCCGCCAGCGGAUUUCCCUGAUGGGCCAUGUGCCAAAUGUUGCCCAUCCCUGCACUAAGGUAUCACCACUGAUGUAUCAACACUGUUGCAAACAUAAUGUAUCAACACUGUUGCACGUUGUGAUAAAUCUCAUACAAAGUAUGCCUUGUAAGGUAACAUUGGAAAUGUUGUAAUCUGUUGAACAAUGUUAUUCUGUUUAUAUGUAUGAAUUAUCAUUGUACAUGAAGUUAUAAAUCUUUGCUGUGUGUUUGUAUCUCAAACAUGUUGUGUUCGUGGGUAACAUCCACAAGACAGAUUUACAUCAAGACCAGCCAGCCAUGGCUGAUGGACCAUUAAGGAGAAUCAACUCUUCCAAUGGACGCCUCCUGAGAACACAUCAAAGAGCAUAUGGACAAUGGAGGCUCAGUGACUCAGCAGGGCACAUUGAUGAUGGGAUCCUUGACUCCAUGUUUGAGACAGUAACUUUUCAUGCACAUGGGCUGAGGAUAUAAAUGGUGAGAUCAUCCCCUAAUCUCUUUAUUGCUCCACAACUCUGGACUAUGAUUUCUAACAAAGGGAAGAUUUGAACAGUGGACUGAGGACCUCCAGUCUUUUGGGUGAUCAAGAGAAAUUUACUGCAAGCUAGCAGAUUUAACAGCACUACUGUUAUCCUGAUCCACAAAUUCUAAGAUCACCUGUAAUGUGAGAUCACCUGAUAUGAUUAAUUUAAUAACUUUCUUCUCUCUUAUAAUAAUAAACUUUUAGUUUAGUUUA
This is a long non-coding RNA of Dermochelys coriacea (leatherback sea turtle), 4245 nucleotides long. RefSeq lists it as uncharacterized. Lineage: Eukaryota; Metazoa; Chordata; Testudines; Dermochelyidae. The record is from RefSeq and is a predicted model, not a curated record. The transcript is spliced from 2 exons.